Molecule: ribosomal RNA, 178 nt
Filed under: uncultured bacterium
Lineage: Bacteria
Description: partial 16S ribosomal RNA
Rfam family: Bacterial small subunit ribosomal RNA
Source: RNAcentral
CUGAAACUCGCCUCUUUGAAGUCGGAAUCGCUAGUAAUCGCAGAUCAGCAUGUUGCGGUGAAUACGUUUCCUGGUCUUGUACACACCGCCCGUCAAACCAUGAGAGUCGCCAACACCCGAAGUCCGCUUUGCGGCCUAAGGUGGGGAGAUGAUUGGGGUUAAGUCGUAACAAGGUAUC